Small nuclear RNA from Solanum dulcamara, 159 nucleotides. RefSeq annotates it as U1 spliceosomal RNA. Lineage: Eukaryota; Viridiplantae; Streptophyta; Magnoliopsida; Solanales; Solanaceae. The record is from RefSeq and is a predicted model, not a curated record. The transcript has a single exon.
AUACUUACCUGGAAGGGGUCAAUGGGUGAUCAAUAAGACCCACGGCCUAGGUUGGUGACCUCCAUUGCACUUUGGGGGGUGCCCACUUAAGGUCGGCCCAAGUGGUCGAGCCUACGUCAUAAUUUGUGGUGGUGAGGGCCUGCGUUCGCGCGGCCCUUA